CUGGAUAGGCAUGACAUGUUGCUAGACAUCAAUCAUGUCUUAUAGAUUUUUAUGAAUUAAAGAGACUAAUUCAUGAGUCUAUUAAAAAAAGUUCUAAUUUAACAACUCGAAUCUACAUGGAUUUGACCUAAAUUGAUUAGAUGGAGCCUAAUCAAAUCGGGUCAACAUGUAUCCAAAUUUACUGCUGGCUAAUUGUGGAGCCC
RNAcentral lists this long non-coding RNA (203 nucleotides) under Elaeis guineensis (African oil palm). RNAcentral's name for it is "long non-coding RNA (EGUI_LNC059922)". Lineage: Eukaryota; Viridiplantae; Streptophyta; Magnoliopsida; Arecales; Arecaceae. The record is from RNAcentral.